GAUGAACGCUGGCGGCGUGCCUAACACAUGCCAGUCGAACGGUGAAGGCGGAGCUUCCUCUUCUGGAUCAGUGGCGAACGGGGGAGUAACACGUGAGCAAGCGGCCCCUGACUCGGGGAUAAGCGCUGGAAACGGCGUCUAAUACUGGAUACGAGCUGCGGAGGCAUCUUCUGCAGCUGCAAAGGAGCUCGGUCCGGAUUGGGCUGGCGGCCUGUCAGUUUGUUGGUGAGGUAAUGGCGCACCAAGGCGUCGACGGGUAGCCGGCCUGAGAGGGUGACCGGCCAAACUGGGACUGAGAUACGGCCCAGACUCCUACGGGAGGCAGCGGUGGGGAAUAGUGCACAAUGGGCGAAAGCCUGAUGCAGCAGCGCCGCGUGGGGGACGACGGCCCUCGGGUUGUAAACCUCUUUUCGCAGGGAAGAAGCGAAAGUGACGGUACCUGCAGAAAAAGCGCCGGCUAACUACGUG
RNAcentral lists this ribosomal RNA (468 nucleotides) under uncultured bacterium. RNAcentral describes it as "partial 16S ribosomal RNA". It matches the Rfam family "Bacterial small subunit ribosomal RNA", at positions 28 to 507 of the family's 1533-position model. The record is from RNAcentral.